UUGACCUCGGAUCAUGUAGGGAUACC
Molecule: ribosomal RNA, 26 nt
Filed under: Neodidymelliopsis cannabis
Lineage: Eukaryota; Fungi; Ascomycota; Dothideomycetes; Pleosporales; Didymellaceae
Description: partial 28S ribosomal RNA
Source: RNAcentral